Molecule: ribosomal RNA, 672 nt
Filed under: Triticum aestivum (bread wheat)
Lineage: Eukaryota; Viridiplantae; Streptophyta; Magnoliopsida; Poales; Poaceae
Description: partial small subunit ribosomal RNA
Source: RNAcentral
AUGGUGUUGCUUGACAUUAGGGGUAUGUUGUAGUCCAUGGGCAAAGACAUAGCUGAUUUCGCUCUUCCAUGCGUUGACGAUGCGUUCGACCCAACCGAGGGCGAGGCCAGAGAAGUGAUCGAGGAAUCCAACGUCGAUUUUGACAUCAACGACACUAAAUUGGCAUUGUCACUAAACUUGGAGCAGAGGGAAGCAUACGAUGAGAUACUAGCUGAUGUUGAACGCGGUGAUGGGUGUGUGUUCUUUGUUGAUGGCCCGGGAGGUACAUGGAAGACCUUCAUGUACAGGGCGCUGCUCGCCAAGGUUCGAAGCGAGGGAAACAUCGCUAUCGCUACCGUGACAUCAGGCGUCGCUUCUAUCAUGCCUGGAGGCAGGACUGCCCACUCGAGGUUCAAGAUCCCAUUGAACUGCAACGGUGGCACCUCAUGCACCAUCACAAAGCAGAGUUGUACCGCCAAGCUACUGAGGAUGGCCUCAUUGAUACUAUGGGAUGAGGCCACCAUGACUAAGCGACAGGCGGUCGAAGCACUCAACAACAGCAUGCGCGACAUCAUGGGAAGACAGGACCGACCCUUUGGAGUAAACACAAUUGUGUUUGCUGGGGACUUCAGGCAGGUGCUUCUGGUCGUCAGGAGGGGGUCCCGGGGUCAGAUAAUCGAUGCAACCCUCUGA